Molecule: ribosomal RNA, 253 nt
Filed under: uncultured bacterium
Lineage: Bacteria
Description: partial 16S ribosomal RNA
Rfam family: Bacterial small subunit ribosomal RNA
Source: RNAcentral
UACGGAGGGUGCAAGCGUUGUUCGGAAUCACUGGGCGUAAAGGGCGUGUAGGCGGUCCGCUAAGUCUGAUGUGAAAGCCCGGGGCUCACCCCCGGAAGGGCAUUGGAAACUGGCGGACUCGAGUCCCGGAGAGGAAGGUGGAAUUCCUGGUGUAGCGGUGAAAUGCGCAGAUAUCAGGAAGAACACCCGUGGCUAAGGCGGCUCUCUAGUACGGUACUGACGCUGAGACGCGAAAGCGUGGGGAGCGAACAGG